CUACGGGCCGCACCAGUGGGGAAUAUUGCACAAUGGAGGAAACUCUGAUGCAGCAACGCCGCGUGGAGGAUGACACUUUUCGGAGAGUAAACUCCUUUUAUAUAGGAAGAAGAUGACGGUACUAUAUGAAUAAGCGCCGGCUAACUCCGUGCCAGCAGCCGCGGUAAUACGGAGGGCGCAAGCGUUACUCGGAAUCACUGGGCGUAAAGAGCGUGUAGGCGGAUGAAAAAGUCAGUAGUGAAAUCCUAUAGCUUAACUAUAGAACUGCUUCUGAAACUCUUAAUCUAGAAUAUGGGAGAGGUAGAUGGAAUUUCUGGUGUAGGGGUAAAAUCCGUAGAGAUCAGAAGGAAUACCGAGUGCGAAGGCGAUCUACUAGAACAUUAUUGACGCUGAGACGCGAAAGCGUGGGGAGCAAACAGGAUUAGAUACCCUCGUAGUC
RNAcentral lists this ribosomal RNA (439 nucleotides) under uncultured bacterium. Its description in RNAcentral is "partial 16S ribosomal RNA". It matches the Rfam family "Bacterial small subunit ribosomal RNA", at positions 339 to 795 of the family's 1533-position model. The record is from RNAcentral.